GGGUUGUGAGGUUAAGCGACUAAGCGUACACGGUGGAUGCCCUGGCAGUCAGAGGCGAUGAAGGACGUGCUAAUCUGCGAAAAGCGUCGGUAAGGUGAUAUGAACCGUUACAGCCGGCGAUGUCCGAAUGGGGAAACCCAGUGCAAUUCGUUGCACUAUCGUUAACUGAAUACAUAGGUUAACGAGGCGAACCGGGGGAACUGAAACAUCUAAGUACCCCGAGGAAAAGAAAUCAACCGAGAUUCCCCCAGUAGCGGCGAGCGAACGGGGAGCAGCCCAGAGUCUGAAUCAGCUUGUGUGUUAGUGGAACGGUCUGGAAAGUCCGACGGUACAGGGUGAUAGUCCCGUACACCAAAAUGCACAGGCUGUGAACUCGAAGAGUAGGGCGGGACACGUGGUAUCCUGUCUGAAUAUGGGGGGACCAUCCUCCAAGGCUAAAUACUCCUGACUGACCGAUAGUGAACCAGUACCGUGAGGGAAAGGCGAAAAGAACCCCGGCGAGGGGAGUGAAAAAGAACCUGAAACCGUGUACGUACAAGCAGUGGGAGCACCUUCGGGUGUGACUGCGUACCUUUUGUAUAAUGGGUCAGCGACUUAUAUUCUGUAGCAAGGUUAACCGUAUAGGGGAGCCGCAGGGAAACCGAGUCUUAACUGGGCGUUAAGUUGCAGGGUAUAGACCCGAAACCCGGUGAUCUAGCCAUGGGCAGGUUGAAGGUUGGGUAACACUAACUGGAGGACCGAACCGACUAAUGUUGAAAAAUUAGCGGAUGACUUGUGGCUGGGGGUGAAAGGCCAAUCAAACCGGGAGAUAGCUGGUUCUCCCCGAAAGCUAUUUAGGUAGCGCCUCGUGAACUCAUCUUCGGGGGUAGAGCACUGUUUCGGCUAGGGGGUCAUCCCGACUUACCAACCCGAUGCAAACUACGAAUACCGAAGAAUGUUAUCACGGGAGACACACGGCGGGUGCUAACGUCCGUCGUGAAGAGGGAAACAACCCAGACCGCCAGCUAAGGUCCCAAAGUCAUGGUUAAGUGGGAAACGAUGUGGGAAGGCACAGACAGCCAGGAUGUUGGCUUAGAAGCAGCCAUCAUUUAAAGAAAGCGUAAUAGCUCACUGGUCGAGUCGGCCUGCGCGGAAGAUGUAACGGGGCUAAACCAUGCACCGAAGCUGCGGCAGCGACACUAUGUGUUGUUGGGUAGGGGAGCGUUCUGUAAGCCUGCGAAGGUGACCUGUGAGGGUUGCUGGAGGUAUCAGAAGUGCGAAUGCUGACAUAAGUAACGAUAAAGCGGGUGAAAAGCCCGCUCGCCGGAAGACCAAGGGUUCCUGUCCAACGUUAAUCGGGGCAGGGUGAGUCGACCCCUAAGGCGAGGCCGAAAGGCGUAGUCGAUGGGAAACAGGUUAAUAUUCCUGUACUUGGUGUUACUGCGAAGGGGGGACGGAGAAGGCUAUGUUAGCCGGGCGACGGUUGUCCCGGUUUAAGCAUGUAGGCUGGUUAUCCAGGCAAAUCCGGAUAAUCAAGGCUGAGGUGUGAUGACGAGGCACUACGGUGCUGAAGUAACAAAUGCCCUGCUUCCAGGAAAAGCCUCUAAGCAUCAGGUAACAUCAAAUCGUACCCCAAACCGACACAGGUGGUCAGGUAGAGAAUACCAAGGCGCUUGAGAGAACUCGGGUGAAGGAACUAGGCAAAAUGGUGCCGUAACUUCGGGAGAAGGCACGCUGGUGUGUAGGUGAAGUCCCUGCGGAUGGAGCUGAGACCAGUCGAAGAUACCAGCUGGCUGCAACUGUUUAUUAAAAACACAGCACUGUGCAAACACGAAAGUGGACGUAUACGGUGUGACGCCUGCCCGGUGCCGGAAGGUUAAUUGAUGGGGUUAUCCGUAAGGAGAAGCUCUUGAUCGAAGCCCCGGUAAACGGCGGCCGUAACUAUAACGGUCCUAAGGUAGCGAAAUUCCUUGUCGGGUAAGUUCCGACCUGCACGAAUGGCGUAAUGAUGGCCAGGCUGUCUCCACCCGAGACUCAGUGAAAUUGAACUCGCUGUGAAGAUGCAGUGUACCCGCGGCAAGACGGAAAGACCCCGUGAACCUUUACUAUAGCUUGACACUGAACAUUGAGCCUUGAUGUGUAGGAUAGGUGGGAGGCUUUGAAGCGUGGACGCCAGUCUGCGUGGAGCCAACCUUGAAAUACCACCCUUUAAUGUUUGAUGUUCUAACGUGGGCCCCUAAUCGGGGUUGCGGACAGUGUCUGGUGGGUAGUUUGACUGGGGCGGUCUCCUCCCAAAGCGUAACGGAGGAGCACGAAGGUUAGCUAAUCCUGGUCGGACAUCAGGAGGUUAGUGCAAUGGCAUAAGCUAGCUUGACUGCGAGCGUGACGGCGCGAGCAGGUGCGAAAGCAGGUCAUAGUGAUCCGGUGGUUCUGAAUGGAAGGGCCAUCGCUCAACGGAUAAAAGGUACUCCGGGGAUAACAGGCUGAUACCGCCCAAGAGUUCAUAUCGACGGCGGUGUUUGGCACCUCGAUGUCGGCUCAUCACAUCCUGGGGCUGAAGUAGGUCCCAAGGGUAUGGCUGUUCGCCAUUUAAAGUGGUACGCGAGCUGGGUUUAGAACGUCGUGAGACAGUUCGGUCCCUAUCUGCCGUGGGCGCUGGAGAAUUGAGGGGGGCUGCUCCUAGUACGAGAGGACCGGAGUGGACGCAUCACUGGUGUUCGGGUUGUCAUGCCAAUGGCACUGCCCGGUAGCUAAAUGCGGAAGAGAUAAGUGCUGAAAGCAUCUAAGCACGAAACUUGCCCCGAGAUGAGUUCUCCCUGAGACUAUAAGUCUCCUGAAGGAACGUUGAAGACGACGACGUUGAUAGGCCGGGUGUGUAAGCGCAGCGAUGCGUUGAGCUAACCGGUACUAAUGAACCGUGAGGCUUAACCUUACAACGCCGAAG
This 2923-nucleotide ribosomal RNA is filed under the name Klebsiella quasipneumoniae. Its description in RNAcentral is "bacterial LSU rRNA". It matches the Rfam family "Bacterial large subunit ribosomal RNA". The record is from RNAcentral. Lineage: Bacteria; Pseudomonadati; Pseudomonadota; Gammaproteobacteria; Enterobacterales; Enterobacteriaceae.